UCUAUAGUCGCCAGACUGUGCAGGGGCGGUUUAACAUAUAAUUAUGUCGUUUCGAACUGAUGCUAUCUUUAUUUUUAAUUUCUAACAUAGUUUUUAGGUUUAGUUGGAAAGGCAUCUUCUCACAAAUCAGAACUCCUCGUUCACUUCCCUCUUCGUGCAGCGCUUUGUCCGACCGCCAUAGCAGGUGAUUCUCUCUCUUCUCUUCUCUCAUCUCACAGUCAAUCCUUUAUCUACUUUUCUCUCCUUUCCUACUCAUCUUCUCGCUGAGGCCCUUAAUUUGAAAUACGGAAAGGAAUGGUGAAGCUUGUGGUCUACGAUGAAGCUCUCAUGGAGUUUGCAAAACUCCGUUGCAACUUUAAUGAUCUCAACUCUCAAAUUUAAACAAAGUUCAGCCAAGUCCUUUCUGUUUUUAUCUCAUUUUUCUCUAUAUAUUGACAUCUGUAAAUAUAACUGUUAGAUACUUAAAUUUGUGCUUAGCUUCCAUUUUUAAUUUUUUAAUGUAUCUUAAGCACAAUUUGAUUAGUGGACGAAAUUUGGUUGAGUGAAGAAAGAGUUGCGAGUGAAGUAAAGUUCUUAUGGCUGUUUUGUGACCUUAUUCUCCAGAAAUUGAUUUUGAAAAUGAGUGCAACUGUGGGCAGUGAGCUCAAGUGGAGGAUGACAUUUGGUGCAGACACUACCUGAGGUAGAAUUUUGAAAAUGUUAGUGAAAAUUUAUUCCGGAAAAAGCAAUAAUCUAGUAUCCUUAGGUAGUAUUUUAUACCCUAAUUUUCUUGGGAAACAUUCUAUAAGUCCAUCUUCUUCCAAGUUAUUGCAUUCAUUUUGUCUUGGACUUCCCUUUUUUGUAUCCAACAAAAUUGUGUGAGAUAAAAAAAGAUGGAUAUGUUUCAUUGAGAUUUAUUUAUUUUUACCCAAUGAAUACACAGGUUAUACAGGAUCAUACAAUAUCUGAACAAUUGAUAAGAGGCUAAUCUUUUGCUCUUAUAUCUCUUACUUUACUUUCCCCUAUUCUUUUAGAGCAGUAGGACAUAAUCUGGUUGAUAGAAAUAUAAGCAGGUUUUAGUAAAUUGAUCACAUUUAAACAGUCAAUAUGACUACAAUUUUGAAAAUGGUAUCUUAUUUGAGAAAAAAAAUACUUAGCAAAUGGUUAUUCGAUGUAGUGCCGAUACUGAAAAACCUUUUAAAAGAAAGACUAUCUACUCCAUAGAUGAGAAAUAGCACAUUGGUACAAGCAGAACUAUCCUAAAAGCAAGGAGUGGUAUGUCGGCAAAGCUAUUGCAUUAAGUGUCAUUUACAUGUCCUUAGAGUGAUAGGUCCAAUUAUAUUUUCACUGGUCUUUGAUGGUUUUGGAGAAACUGCAAAAGGAAUUUAUGUUUGUCCUAUUGCGAGUUUAUAUUAAUUACUAAUUUAAAUUGGAUCAAUCAUGGUACAGGAAUAAAGAACUUUAACAAAUUAAAUGAGCUAGAUUUAGGCUAAUGCAAAGAUUGUUUUAACUACUCUGUAGAUACGAAGUUAGAAUAAUGUUUGUCAUUAUCAAAAAAGUCAUAGUAGCAUUUACGAUACUGGGUAAUGAACUUAAUAUAUUUUAAUUCCAUUAUUUGGCUUACUAUCCCUCAGCAUUACAAAAAUGAAACUUAAGGUACUUGUGGUAGUUUGUUAAUUAUUUUAGUUUGUUCUUAUACUUGCACAUUAUAUUGUCACUGAUGUCUAGGUGAUAUCAUCUCCCAAUGUAAGAUGCAAUGAAGUUUCUGUUUGUUGACAUUAGGUCGUACCCCAUGGAAAAAUUAUCUAUAUGUAUAUCCUUACUAAUUUUUCAGUAGUUGUUCUAUUGUUCAAAGUUGGAGGACACACCAAAAGUCUUACCUUCUUUUCAUGUCAAUAUCGUCUAUUAAUAUAUAUACUUCUUUACAUCCUAUUGACUUUGUAAGAAUGGAGAUGCAAGAAAUGCGGUGGACUAUGAAAGCUCACUGAAAUCAUCACAGUGCCAAUCCUUUCCUUGAAGCUUUCUGAGAACCUCGGUGUCUAAGGUAUAAACUCCAUGUUUCUUGAUUCAUGAGAUAUCUAAUUGGAUCAUUUUUUUUCUAUUAAACAUACACAUAAUAGAUAACAGAUAAUUCAUGAAUAAAAUUUAAUGCACAUUUAGUCGGGGCUUGUCCCUUAAGGUUUAAAAUCUGCCUCUGUGCAAUGACUUUAUCAAGGUGCGUAUAUGACAACAUGACAUUAACAAAUAAAAUUAUGAGGUUAAUUGAGUGGAAAUCCAUAGGACAACAUGCCAGGGGAAGGGAUAUUGAUUUUGCGCCAUAUCUUUUACCCUUUUUUGGUCACUAAAUUUGAUUCUAUUCAAGUGCAAUGGAAGUCCAUCAAGUUCAUCAAUCACUGAGGUCUAAAACCUUCAGAGCAAAAUCCUAGACCUUGUCAUCAAUCACAAUAAGCUAUAUAUCAUGUUUUAUAACAGGAGAAAGUUAUGUUAAUUCAAUAAUUCUGCUGUCACUUUAGCACUAACACUCGGUAAUAUGAUAUUUUUUGCAUUAAACUUGUUUCUUGGUCGAUUAUUUAGGGAAUCUAUGUUGUAGUAUGACUAUAGAUAAACUAGCAUAAUCAUACUCUUCAGAGAAAUUUAUAUUACCAUAUACUCAAUUUAUAAAUUUUUGUGUUCGAAAAAAUUUCCUGUUUGACAAAUAUUGUAAAAAGUAUGAUAGUUAAAUAUGACUAUGGCACUUGCUUUUGGAUACUUGUAAGGUAAACUAAGACAAGUCGAUAUACACCAGUAGUCAACAUAUACAAAGUAUAAGCUUGAAUGUCUUAUACACGAGUGAUAUUAUAUGUUGGCAUAUAAAAAGAAAAAGGAAAUAAGGGCAGAAAAUGUUGGAAGGGUCUUGUUUUUCCUUCUUCUUUUACAUGUUAAUGGACUUGUGCAGGUAACUCUGUUCUUCUUCUUUCUCUGGAUUCUUAUAUUGAAUGGUUAAAGGGGUUGACUAAAAAUUCUGCAGGUUAUAUCUGCCGCCUACAAUCUAUUCAGUAGUUUAAGAAAUGUGAAUAUAUUAGUUUGUACCAUGAACCUUUGACAUGCUUGCAAUUCUGAAUAUAAAGUUUUAUAUUUCGUACGUCAUGAUUGAAUUUUGAUUAUUUCUUGCUUAUUGCUUCAUUUUAUUUUGUAG
Molecule: long non-coding RNA, 3154 nt
Filed under: Nicotiana benthamiana
Lineage: Eukaryota; Viridiplantae; Streptophyta; Magnoliopsida; Solanales; Solanaceae
Description: long non-coding RNA (NBEN_LNC021139)
Source: RNAcentral